AUCUUUAAUUCAGAGUCCCAUUUGCAUUCUAAAUGAAGAAUUAUACUUCUAUCUCCACUGCUGUAAUCUCUUCUGUGAUUCAUCCUUUAAAGCAAAUUAAAAGAAUGCAUUUUUUAAGGAGGCUCACCCGAGGAGCCCAGCCACCUUGCUGUGAAGCACCCCAGGGCACCUACUGAAUCCUCACAGAGAUGUGCCAACUGAGACUGAUGUAGCUUCCGUGCCAGCCAAAAGCUGACUUCAACUGCCAAACAAGUGCAUGCGGCACCUUUAGGUGAUUCUAGUCCCCAGUGGUGUGUCAUCCCAGCUGAAGCCAAGUGGAGAAGAAAGAAGCUCGCCUCGCCUCACCUUGCCUAAACUGUAGAUUUGUGAACAAAACAAGCAUUGUUUUGAGCCACUGGGUUUUGAGGUGGUUCAUCAUGCAGCAAUAAAUAACUGGCACAGAUACUGAUAUUUAAAAUGGGGUGCUGCCACUAAAAACAAAACAAAACAACUAAAACACAUAAAGAGUGCCUUUGAACAGGGCAAUAGGCAGAACCUGAAAGGAGGUGGAGAAGAGUCAGAAUGAAAACCAGCAGGGCCUCCGGGAGCCUGUUAGUGGAAGCCUGACGGCCCCUGAAGGGGCUGACAGCAAGGGCUUCUAGGCAGGGAAAGACAGUGACACUGGAACCUGGAGGAAAGGGGACUCUUGCUCCAAAGCAGCUGGAAGUAAAGAUCAAUGAGCAAGAUAAGCUGAAGAAUUUUACACAUAAAGGAACUAGGGCUUACUAGGGUCAGAUAUCUGUUUCCCAAUUACAGCCUUUCCUCAUGUCUAAUUGCCAAAUAAUUCUAAAAGAAAUGACUUCUGAACUAAGACCAAAUCCAGGGUGCUGCCAGGAAAAAACACGGCCUAAGGUUGCAGCCAAGACUGUAAAAUCCUUUGUUAGGAUCUCAGAAAGAUUUAUGGUGGUGCCUCAAAUUCUUCUAAGGAGCUUCAGAGUUUAUACAUUUUAAGGCACCAUCCUAAAACAGCUUCACAGGAAGCCCAAAGUGAAGAGCUUAUCUCAAAAUGACUCGAGGGUCCCUUUCCUAUUGGCAUGAACCCCAAUAAAAUUCACAGGAAACUCAAGGUUUUUAAAAACGGUAUUAGCAAAAACACUGCCUGGUAGCCUGGACUGAGAGAGACGGAGAGAAUACAAAUGAAAAGAGAGAGGCCUUUGGGUCUUAGAAGUUCUACAGGGAGGAGGCAGGCUGAGAAAACAGAUGCAAACACAGGUCAUCUCUUAUGAACAGGACAGAACUGAGAGCUCAGAGGCACAGCAAAGGGCCAUGGAGGGGCAUUCCCAUGAUUAGGACUAAGUCUUCCUCAAAGAACUAGCAGCCUGCAGCAGGCUGCCCUUCAGAAUUGCUAUGGACUAAUGUGUCUCCCAUUUUGCAUUCUGAAUGAGAGUCUUGAGCAGGUCAGCAGAAUGUUGGCUCUGUGGGUGGUGGUAGAUAACUUGGCUCUUCAGUUCUCAAUUUCUGUAUUGAGAGGAAUUGUACUCCAAGGGCUAAACUGUAGAAACCACAGCCCAGGCUCCUGUCCCAUCUGCACCUGAUGAAGAUGUAAGAUCUCAGACUCCAGCCUGAACUGGAUGCCAUCGUCACUGAGGCUUGGCAUGCAGGUACAGGGUAGGGUGAACAGAAUAUAGGGAAGGUGAUGCUGUAUGAAUUCCAAGGCUGGUUGGCUGGGAUAGGCCAGGUGUUCCAGCUGCCCCGCCCAACUAAAGUCCCAGCCAGGGCCUGGCGCCAACAAUCGGACAUGUGAGUGAACUAGCCUCCAAAUGACUCCAGCCUCAGCCUUCAAGCUGUCCCAGCUACAGCUGAAGGAAGCAGAGACAAGCUGUCCUGGCCACACUUUCCUGACGGAGGAAGAAAUAGGAUUCUGUCAAUUAUGCAUUGAGCUAUAAAGUACAGCUAUCCAUCUCUUUCGAUUUAAGUAAAAGGAGGUGGAUACAGAGAACUGAGGUUUCUGAGAAUAUAGGAUCAGCACCAAGAACAAGGUUGGCCUCAGGAUUACACAUAAGAACCAGGUCAAAAGAAGAUUUAAUUGUGAAUAGAAAGAUGACAGAUUAGCAAGACUUCCAAAGAGAAAGCCAAAAGCCCAGACUUCAUCUCUUCGUUCCUAGAUGGUGAAAUCUAUGGAUCAGUCUAUGCCCUAUAGUGAGUCACUGAAACAUAAUGAACUACACAGACUGAGCCAGCAGAUCCUGUGACCCAGACAUGCAAAUGGGAGUGAGGUGGAGGGACACUGAUGAGAGACUAAAGGUGUGAAUGGAGAAAAGAAAGGGAAUGGGCUCUACCUUUGUUGUUAGCCUGACUUCCCAUCAUGGCACAGUCAGCAGGGCACAAGCUGGACAAAGGCUCUCUGAAGCUAAAAGUGUCUGCAUGAGCUGAGAGAAGCAAGUGGUAAUAUGCAAGAUGACCGUGAAAGAGUCCUCACAAUAUUUGAUUUGGUAUUGGCAAAAGGACAGACAUGCAGCAACCGUAUUAGAAUUGGGGAUACAAAAUAAACUCUGGUGAACUGAUUUUCAACAAGGGUGCCAAAAGGUUAAAUGGGUCAAGAAUAAUCUUUUUAACCCAUGGUACUGGGGCCACUGAAUAUCCACAUACAGAAGAAUAAAAUCAGACCUCUACUUCAUAGCAUAUAUACAAAGUUAACUCAACAUGUAAGCGCAAAAAUUAUAAAACUCAUAGGAAAAAACAAAGAUGUGUAUCUUUGUGACUGGAUUUGGCAAUGGUUUCUUAGAUGACACCAAAGGAGAAAAGCAGAUUAACUGGAUUCAUCAGGACAGUGAAAAGGCAAGCUAUAGAAUAGGAGAAAAUACUUGAAAACCCUUUAUCUGGUAAGGGAUCUGUAUCUAGAAUAUAGAAAUAACUCUUACAGUUCACUUAGAAGAAGACAGUCCAAUAUUAAAAUAGGCAAAGGAAUCAAACAGGCAGUUCCUCAAAGAAGAUACCUGAAUGGAUAAUAAGCAUAGGAAAAGCUGCUCAACAACAUUAUUCAUCAGAAAAAUGCAAAUCAAAACCACAGUGAAAUGC
Long non-coding RNA from Manis pentadactyla (Chinese pangolin), 3057 nucleotides. RefSeq lists it as uncharacterized. The record is from RefSeq and is a predicted model, not a curated record. The transcript is spliced from 4 exons. NCBI's taxonomy places the organism in Eukaryota, Metazoa, Chordata, Mammalia, Pholidota, Manidae.